RNAcentral lists this ribosomal RNA (465 nucleotides) under uncultured bacterium. RNAcentral describes it as "partial 16S ribosomal RNA". It matches the Rfam family "Bacterial small subunit ribosomal RNA", at positions 338 to 795 of the family's 1533-position model. The record is from RNAcentral.
CCUAUGGGUGGCAGCAGUGGGGAAUAUUGCGCAAUGGGCGAAAGCCUGACGCAGCGACGCCGCGUGAGGGAUGAAGGUCUUCGGAUCGUAAACCUCUGUCAGCAGGGAAGAACGGUCACUGUGCUAAUCAGCAGUGAAUUGACGGUACCUGCAAAGGAAGCACCGGCUAACUCCGUGCCAGCAGCCGCGGUAAUACGGAGGGUGCGAGCGUUAAUCGGAAUUACGGGGCGUAAAGCGCUCGUAGGCGGGAUGGCAAGUCAAGGGUGAAAUCCCCGCGCUCAACGUGGGAACUGCCUUUGAAACUGGCAGACUGGAGUGUGUGAGAGGAUAGUGGAAUUCCAGGUGUAGGAGUGAAAUGCGUAGAUAUCGGGAGGAACAUCAGUGGCGAAGGCGACUAGCUGGAACAUAACUGACGCUGAGGAGCGAAAGCGUGGGUAGCAAACAGGAUUAGAUACCCUUGUAGUC